UGGGGAAUAUUGCACAAUGGGCGCAAGCCUGAUGCAGCCAUGCCGCGUGUAUGAAGAAGGCCUUCGGGUUGUAAAGUACUUUCAGUCGGGAGGAAGGUGUCAAGGUUAAUAACCUUGGCAAUUGACGUUACCGACAGAAGAAGCACCGGCUAACUCCGUGCCAGCAGCCGCGGUAAUACGGAGGGUGCAAGCGUUAAUCGGAAUUACUGGGCGUAAAGCGCACACAGGCGGUUGAUUGAGUCAGAUGUGAAAUCCCCGGGCUUAACCCGGGAAUUGCAUCUGAUACUGGUCAGCUAGAGUCUUGUAGAGGGGGGUAGAAUUCCAUGUGUAGCGGUGAAAUGCGUAGAGAUGUGGAGGAAUACCGGUGGCGAAGGCGGCCCCCUGGACAAAGACUGACGCUCAGGUGCGAAAGCGUGGGGAGCAAACAGG
Molecule: ribosomal RNA, 429 nt
Filed under: Chloroflexota bacterium
Lineage: Bacteria; Bacillati; Chloroflexota
Description: Chloroflexi bacterium partial 16S ribosomal RNA
Rfam family: Bacterial small subunit ribosomal RNA
Source: RNAcentral